GGACGCAUAGCUCAGUUGGUUAGAGUGCCGUGUUCACAUCGCGGAGGUCGCAGGUUCGAUUCCUGCUGCGUCCA
Molecule: transfer RNA, 74 nt
Filed under: Fibrobacter sp.
Lineage: Bacteria; Pseudomonadati; Fibrobacterota; Fibrobacteria; Fibrobacterales; Fibrobacteraceae
Description: tRNA-Val
Rfam family: tRNA
About the family: Transfer RNA (tRNA) molecules are approximately 80 nucleotides in length. Their secondary structure includes four short double-helical elements and three loops (D, anti-codon, and T loops). Further hydrogen bonds mediate the characteristic L-shaped molecular structure. tRNAs have two regions of fundamental functional importance: the anti-codon, which is responsible for specific mRNA codon recognition, and the 3' end, to which the tRNAs corresponding amino acid is attached (by aminoacyl-tRNA synthetases). tRNAs cope with the degeneracy of the genetic code in two manners: having more than one tRNA (with a specific anti-codon) for a particular amino acid; and 'wobble' base-pairing, i.e. permitting non-standard base-pairing at the 3rd anti-codon position.
Source: RNAcentral